AACGAACGCUGGCGGCAGGCCUAACACAUGCAAGUCGAGCGCCCCCUUCAGUGCUCAGCGAUUGAAGCUGAGUACUGAUGGGGGAGGCGGCGGACGGGUGAGUAACGCGUGGGAAUUUUCCUCAAGGUACGGAACAACUCAGGGAAACUUGGGCUAAUACCGUAUGAUGCAGAGAUGCCAAAGAUUUAUCGCCUUGGGAUAAGCCCGCGUCAGAUUAGGUAGUUGGUGGGGAAUGCCUACCAAGCCUGCGAUCUGUAGCUGGUCUGAGAGGACGAUCAGCCACACUGGGACUGAGACACGGCCCAGACUCCUACGGGAGGCAGCAGUGGGAAUCUUGCGCAAUGGGCGAAAAGCCUGACGCAGCCAUGCCGCGUGAGUGAUGAAGGUC
This 388-nucleotide ribosomal RNA is filed under the name uncultured bacterium. Its description in RNAcentral is "bacterial SSU rRNA". It matches the Rfam family "Bacterial small subunit ribosomal RNA", at positions 29 to 416 of the family's 1533-position model. The record is from RNAcentral.